This is a long non-coding RNA of Exaiptasia diaphana, 3240 nucleotides long. RefSeq lists it as uncharacterized. NCBI's taxonomy places the organism in Eukaryota, Metazoa, Cnidaria, Anthozoa, Actiniaria, Aiptasiidae. The transcript is spliced from 2 exons. The record is from RefSeq and is a predicted model, not a curated record.
UGCGGAAAGUGGAGUGUGAGAGAACAUUGAAAAAUGGCUGCUGUUAAAAGCGAAAAAAGGAAUAUUAUACGUUCGUUAAACAGAAAAACGCUAGACGAUCAGCUAAACAAGCUUACAAACCAUUCAAUUGAAAGCAUCGCUGUAUGUGUAUUUUACUCUAGCAAUAUUUACAAUUAAAAUUUCCCAAGACAGUUGGUGAGUUUAGAUAGGGUAAACAGGUUGAUAUAUUCCAAUGUCUUUCAUCGUAUGGAAUUCACGAAUAAACGUUCUUAAGGACAGAACCGACAAACUGUUUGCUUGGUCCUAAUAUAGUGCCUUAUACAUCUCAMAACUCAAUCGAGAACGUGUCCAUUGAAUUACCAAUGGCGGGUUGGAAAACAAACAUGUACCUUCGAUGUCAACCAUUUUCUCGUUGACCAUGACAGAGAUUCCGCAAAGCAAGCAAGAUAUAGAGGUAUUAUCCCAUUGAACCGACGCAAAAUACACACAACACUCGUUCACUCAAAAACUUCAAUGAAAAGUUUACAUGAAGUCUUCUUAUCGAGCAAACACAACGAUAAAUUACUGCCAUCAUCGCAAAGUAAAGAAUUCUUCACGAAAAAAAAAAAAGAAUUCGAGCGCGCGGUUUUUUGCGAAGUCUUUGAAUCGUUAAAUAGAACUAGAUAUAUAUCGGAUCGAAAUAAGAAAAAAAAUAUAAAAAUCGGCAUGGAUUUCAAGGGUGAAAUAUUUUAAUUCACUUAAAGUUAAACUGAGUGAAUUCCCGAUUUAAAUGUUGUGAUAAGUCCACCGGGUAAGUCGAGCGAUGGAGAUUACUCAUCCGGUAUAGUGAGCCCUUUCGAUAACAAAUCAAGGUCAAAAACAUUACAAGAUCAUUACCAAACGUUAAAUAAAAACACACUAUUCUGGCUUUGGAAUUAUUAAUAACAUAAACSUAUGUAUUUUUCACGAUUCUUGGUUAAGAUUUACGAGCGCUAAAGUUGUUUUGAAAGAUAAUCGCYGCACCACUGAGCUUCAUGGUCCGGAACCAUAAUGGCGACAAUCGGCGGAGAAGGACAUCAUGGCAUCAUGGCUUGACAAUGCUCUUAUUGGUAAAUAAUGUGAAUGGAAUCGGUCUAUGCUUCCUCUCGGAACGUGCCRAUUUCUCGUCUUUUGGACAUACUAUUAAACUUCAUGUUUCCUACAAAACCACAAGAAUUGUUUCAAAACCUACAAGCUUCCUUCUUAAGUGYCCCUAGCUAUUGUUUUUUGAUAAAACAUGGGCUUCGAGCCGCCUUCCUUAGUUGUUGCCAUUAUGCCUCACGAUUCAAGUUCUCAACCACAAGGGUGACUCCAGGAAACAUGGAGUAAAGUAGAGCGUUUUCCUUGAGCAGCGAUUCAAAUGAAAGUAGUUUUAACAGCUAACAUGUUUAUGUACUGAUAAUAGUUACUUUCAGACUAGGAAAACACCAAUCAUCUGUGUAACAUGCAAAUAUUUGAACCAUCAUGACUAGCCCUUGUUAGCUUGUAAUGUUAUUUGGUAAGAAGAACCCUGAGGCAACAUUUCAAAAUGGGCCGGCAAACUGUUUAAAAUCAGUACUUUCCUUUAACUAAUACAGAACAAGACAGAUCAAAUCAUUCACAAAUAAAUUCCAAAACAAACUUUUCACAGGGAAGUUUAUUCAGGUAAUAAAGCCAAACGAUCUUUCUUAACCGUUUUUAUACACAAAGAAAUAGAAGAUGUACCGAUCUAGCAAUAUGRACCUUCCAAAUGAARUUCUGCCAAAYUGUGACCUCAAAACUUGACGAUAAAAUCACCAAUGAUAACGAAAAACUGUUGAGAAUAUGCUAAAUAAAAUCCAAAGUUUUAGUCAAUAAACUACUGGCUAGUUACUGCAAAAUGUUUGGAAUUGUGAUCGGAAAUUCUUUGGUUAUCCUAAGAGUCUUGCUGACAGCCGACACGGGCUGGGUGUAAAAACCAUAACAUUACCUCAAUGCGCUACUUCUGAGCAGACAAUUUUUAGUACAUUUCCUUGGCUUUCUUUGUAUUUCCUUCCUGAUACAGGCCUAACCUUGUACAACCAAAAGCCUCGAGUACUAGUGGAAUGGGUGCCGCAGUCAUGGGCUAGGUUGAGUGUUUUUAUAGUUCAAUGUUGAUAAAUAAAAGAACGUUACAAAGAAAACACGAUUAAGACCAGCCUUAAACGAUCUGGGUGGUCGAGUGUUUGCCAAGACACGUAUGUCGUCUGUAAGCGCGUGUACAUGCUAAACUAUUAACCCAAAUACUUCCAAGAGUUUAGGAAACACUUUAAUUUAAGAUCGUUCAACUGGGACAAAGUUUGCAUGUAUAAGUACACAGAAAUGUAAUAAUUCGGCCGUACGAUUGGGCCGACAAAGGUCAAUAUUCUAUCGGAAGGGUUGUGAGUCUAGAAGGCGCUCUGAGUUAGUUGUUGAAAGCUAUCUCAUCUGACUAGAUCAUGGCUAGUACACUAACAUAAACACGAGACCAUGAUAGCAUCACAAAGCAAAGCAACCACAGAGAAAUCCCUCAAACGAGAUCCCAAGCUGGCAAGAUUUCCAUCUCCRAAUGAAAACCAGCASUAUGGGUUUUUGUGGUUUUUAUUGAGGAUAAAUUACUCCACAUCUAUUAUUUCUCUGAUUGUAAAAGCUAGAAUUCUUGACAUGAGUCACACAAGUCGGAAGAUAAAGAUAACUAAAAAGAAAUUAUGAUUUUAUCUUGAAAGGUCUGUGAAAUUGGCCGGUCGUCCUUUCCGGUCAUGGAUUCAAGUUCAUUUGAAGGCUAACGUAACACAAUGAAUUCUUGACUCGCAACAUGAGUGGAUUUUGAUCACUGCAAUAAAACUCAUGCCUAAAAGAUAAAAAACAUGGUGAUAUUCCGGCUCGCGUAUCACUUACUCUUAUCAGCGCUCACAACACUUACAUGCGGGGGACUUGACUCUUUAAUAUCAACUACUUUUAAAAACAACCCUACGGYGAUCAUUUAGAAAAAAAGGGACUUAUUACAACUAUUCUUGAUACUAUAAACACAACAAUAGGCUACGAAACUAGUCAAAUUUCUCGAUGAAUCAUUUUACCAUGCAAGAGACAGGAGAGCAGRCCUUCUUGGUGUGGUGAACUAUGUUUAAUUUUUGAUGGUUUACGGKUCAUUUAAAGAAAUACACUAUCAUUUUAGGUGCCUUAGGCGGCUAAACAAGGCAGUUAUUGUAAACGUUUGGUUUAUCUAGAAGUCAUGCUGCUGUUCCU